RNAcentral lists this non-coding RNA (21 nucleotides) under Caenorhabditis elegans. Lineage: Eukaryota; Metazoa; Nematoda; Chromadorea; Rhabditida; Rhabditidae. The record is from RNAcentral.
UCAAUUCUUUUCAAUUACCAA